UGGGCUUUUCAUCACCCUAAAUAAAAGCC
Molecule: non-coding RNA, 29 nt
Filed under: Rattus norvegicus (Norway rat)
Lineage: Eukaryota; Metazoa; Chordata; Mammalia; Rodentia; Muridae
Source: RNAcentral